RNAcentral lists this ribosomal RNA (465 nucleotides) under uncultured bacterium. RNAcentral's name for it is "partial 16S ribosomal RNA". It matches the Rfam family "Bacterial small subunit ribosomal RNA", at positions 338 to 795 of the family's 1533-position model. The record is from RNAcentral.
CCUACGGGAGGCAGCAGUGGGGAAUUUUGCGCAAUGCUCGUAAGAGUGACGCAGCGACGCCGCGUGAAUGACGAAGGCCUUCGGGUCGUAAAGUUCUUUCGACAGGGAAGAAAAUGCCUAUAAGUAACUGUGUAUGUAUUGACGGUACCUGUAUAAGCAGCCCCGGCUAACUCCGUGCCAGCAGCCGCGGUAAUACGGAGGGGGCGAGCGUUGUACGGAGUGACUGGGCGUAAAGAGCACGUAGGCGGUGUUGUAAGUCAUUAGUCAAAGACUAGAGCUCAACUUUAGUAAGGCUAGUGAUACUAUAAUACGAGAGUAUCAGAGAGGAUUGCAGAAUUCCUGGUGUAGCGGUGAAAUGCGUAGAUAUCAGGAGGAAUACCGUUAGCGAAGGCGGCAAUCUGGCUGGAAACUGACGCUGAGGUGCGAAAGCGUGGGUAGCAAACAGGAUUAGAUACACCAGUAGUC